ACUGAGCUACAAGUAUAAACGUGCUUAAUCAUUUUCAUUGAUUUAAAAGAACUUGAAAAAAAAGAAAUCGAAAAGUUAAAAAGCGAAACUUCAGCACACACAACCAUUUUGGAGCAAAGACGAGAACUCAUUUUUCUGUGUCAAUAAGAAACAUGGUGGUUUCCUUUAAUAAGAUGAUAAUACUCUUAGCCAUAACAUGUCUCCUCGUUUCAAAUUCAGAAGCAAGGCCAGUGGUAAAGGUACGAAACAAUACUAACAACAGAAGCAAUUGGAAAAAUGAAUCACUGGAGCACAAUUUUGGUCAUCAUACUACCAUACCCGUCCCGAUCUACUCGACUGC
Long non-coding RNA from Stomoxys calcitrans (stable fly), 340 nucleotides. RefSeq lists it as uncharacterized. The transcript is spliced from 3 exons. The record is from RefSeq and is a predicted model, not a curated record. Lineage: Eukaryota; Metazoa; Arthropoda; Insecta; Diptera; Muscidae.